Molecule: ribosomal RNA, 492 nt
Filed under: uncultured bacterium
Lineage: Bacteria
Description: partial 16S ribosomal RNA
Rfam family: Bacterial small subunit ribosomal RNA
Source: RNAcentral
AGUGAACGCUGGCGGUAGGCCUAACACAUGCAAGUCGAACGGCAGCACAGUAAGAGCUUGCUCUUACGGGUGGCGAGUGGCGGACGGGUGAGGAAUACAUCGGAAUCUACUUUUUCGUGGGGGAUAACGUAGGGAAACUUACGCUAAUACCGCAUACGACCCACGGGUGAAAGCAGGGGAUCUUCGGACCUUGCGCGAUUGAAUGAGCCGAUGUCGGAUUAGCUAGUUGGCGGGGUAAAGGCCCACCAAGGCGACGAUCCGUAGCUGGUCUGAGAGGAUGAUCAGCCACACUGGAACUGAGACACGGUCCAGACUCCUACGGGAGGCAGCAGUGGGGAAUAUUGGACAAUGGGCGCAAGCCUGAUGCAGCCAUACCGCGUGGGUGAAGAAGGCCUUCGGGUUGUAAAGCCCUUUUGUUGGGAAAGAAAAGCAGAAGGUUAAUACCCCGCUGUUCUGACGGUACCCAAAGAAUAAGCACCGGCUAACUUCGUG